ACUCCUACGGGAGGCAGCAGUGGGGAAUAUUGCACAAUGGGCGCAAGCCUGAUGCAGCGACGCCGCGUGAGGGAUGACGGCCUUCGGGUUGUAAACCUCUUUCAGUAUCGACGAAGCGCAAGUGACGGUAGAUACAGAAGAAGCACCGGCCAACUACGUGCCAGCAGCCGCGGUAAUACGUAGGGUGCGAGCGUUGUCCGGAAUUACUGGGCGUAAAGAGCUCGUAGGUGGUUUGUCGCGUUGUUCGUGAAAACUCACAACUCAAUUGUGGGCGUGCGGGCGAUACGGGUAGACUGGAGUACUGCAGGGGAGACUGGAAUUCCUGGUGUAGCGGUGGAAUGCGCAGAUAUCAGGAGGAACACCGGUGGCGAAGGCGGGUCUCUGGGCAGUAACUGACGCUGAGGAGCGAAAGCGUGGGGAGCGAACAGGAUUAGAUACCCUGGUAG
RNAcentral lists this ribosomal RNA (446 nucleotides) under uncultured Actinomycetes bacterium. RNAcentral describes it as "bacterial SSU rRNA". It matches the Rfam family "Bacterial small subunit ribosomal RNA", at positions 335 to 793 of the family's 1533-position model. Lineage: Bacteria; Bacillati; Actinomycetota; Actinomycetes. The record is from RNAcentral.